Molecule: long non-coding RNA, 518 nt
Organism: Sorghum bicolor (sorghum)
Lineage: Eukaryota; Viridiplantae; Streptophyta; Magnoliopsida; Poales; Poaceae
Exons: 3
Source: RefSeq, a predicted model, not a curated record
GGCUCGUCAACGCCCGCGCCGCCGCCCUGACCGGCUCCUCGACGUCCGCGUGGCCCUAGGGGUCCGCCACUGCCCUCAGCUAAUGCACGUAUUGGUGGCAAAUUUGGAGGUUCAAAGAGUGGUUACAGUGUCCCUGGAGCGCUUCACAUAUAUAUAUGGUGUUGGUUUAUCAGUUGUUAAUGCUUUAUCAGAGGACACAUGGAAGACUAAAGUUGCAUAUCUACUGAUGGAGGGUAAUCCAAACUUCAGCAGUAGAAAAUAUUUUACUUGAUAGAAAAGAGUACAGGAAAAACCCAUGUAGUGUACUUAACUUUGUAAUCCCAACUUAGUAUGUUAGUUGUUAGUUGUUAUGUUCCUUGUGUGGUGAAGGUGAACAAUGAAUUUGUAAUGAGAAGCAGUAUAUGCAGUGUACUCAACUUGUAAUCUUAACUUAGUAUAGAAGAAGCUGCAAUGUUCCUUGUGUGGUGACCAAUGAAUUUGUAAUAUGAAGGCAGUAUGGAUUUGGUUGGCUUGAGAAA